RNAcentral lists this long non-coding RNA (704 nucleotides) under Homo sapiens (human). RNAcentral describes it as "non-protein coding lnc-SOX5-5:28". The record is from RNAcentral. Lineage: Eukaryota; Metazoa; Chordata; Mammalia; Primates; Hominidae.
AAACCCUCUAGAGGAAAUAGGACAGAAAGGUCACACAGAAGCAGUAAAGCCAAUGAUCUCUUAUAAAACAGUUAUUUAGGUUCUCAGUGGCACUGUUCAUCUUCUGGAAGGGAGAUCACUCCAGUCUCUGCCCAUCCCUGUGUCAUCAGCGUAGCUCUGGACUCUUGGAGUAGAAGAAGAAAGCCUAUUCUACCUUGUUGCUGCUGUACACUCAGCUUUCCUCUUGCUGAUGACAUGAUUCCUGUUUGAAUCUGUUGACAAGAUUCUGAAAGCUGAACAGAGAAUUCUGGCACUGCACUGGGUAGGAAAAAGCAUUUCAAGAAAUAGAUAAUAUCAAGGACAUCAGGACACCGGGAGUGGGAGAGAUUGGACUGGGAGACUCAGCAGUGAGGACGAUGUGUUACUUGUUAUGGAGUGACUCCAUUUGCCCAUGCAAAUAAGCACAAAGCCAGGAUAUUAUCAGGCAAUGGCAAAAUUAAGAGAGCUGCAAAAGGAUGGCAGUCAUAAUAUGCAGAUUCUGAUCAAAGGAUUUACUUUAUGGCACAUUUUGAAACACAGAAGAAAAUACAAGGAUUAUUUUGUGUAUUUUUCUCUUCGCAAAAAAUUUAAAGACUGUGGAGAAAUUAACGUUGCUGUUAAUUUCAAGAUUUUACACCAGCAGACUUAUUUCUGCUAUUGGCUACAUUAUGCCAUUCCAGUGAGUG